CAGCAGCCGCGGUAAUACGAAGGGGGCUAGCGUUGUUCGGAAUUACUGGGCGUAAAGCGCACGUAGGCGGAUUGUUAAGUUAGGGGUGAAAUCCCAGGGCUCAACCCUGGAACUGCCUUUAAUACUGGCAAUCUCGAGUCCGAGAGAGGUGAGUGGAAUUCCGAGUGUAGAGGUGAAAUUCGUAGAUAUUCGGAUGAACACCAGUGGCGAAGGCGGCUCACUGGCUCGGUACUGACGCUGAGGUGCGAAAGCGUGGGGAGCAAACAGGAUUAGAUACCCCUGUAGUCCCUGUCUCUUAUAU
This 301-nucleotide ribosomal RNA is filed under the name uncultured bacterium. RNAcentral's name for it is "partial 16S ribosomal RNA". It matches the Rfam family "Bacterial small subunit ribosomal RNA", at positions 509 to 809 of the family's 1533-position model. The record is from RNAcentral.